RNAcentral lists this ribosomal RNA (253 nucleotides) under uncultured bacterium. Its description in RNAcentral is "partial 16S ribosomal RNA". It matches the Rfam family "Bacterial small subunit ribosomal RNA", at positions 524 to 776 of the family's 1533-position model. The record is from RNAcentral.
UACGUAGGGUGCAAGCGUUAAUCGGAAUUACUGGGCGUAAAGCGUGCGCAGGCGGUGAUGUAAGACAGUUGGGAAAUCCCCGGGCUCAACCUGGGAAUUGCAUCUGUGACUGCAUCGCUAGAGUACGGUAGAGGGGGAUGGAAUUCCGCGUGUAGCAGUGAAAUGCGUAGAUAUGCGGAGGAACACCGAUGGCGAAGGCAAUCCCCUGGACCUGUACUGACGCUCAUGCACGAAAGCGUGGGGAGCAAACAGG